UGUUAAAAUUUUCAUUUAUUUUUAUUGUUAAAAACUGAUAUGAUUGAUAGAAUAACCAAAUAAUUACAUAUGAUGUGUCGUGUAUUUCUCAUGUUAACAUAUACAAAUUAGUUUUUAAUAGUAAAAUAAAUAAAAAAUUUAAUA
Gossypium hirsutum (cotton) is the source of this 144-nucleotide non-coding RNA. The record is from Rfam. Lineage: Eukaryota; Viridiplantae; Streptophyta; Magnoliopsida; Malvales; Malvaceae.